This is a long non-coding RNA of Carassius gibelio (silver crucian carp), 2134 nucleotides long. RefSeq lists it as uncharacterized. The record is from RefSeq and is a predicted model, not a curated record. The transcript has 4 exons. NCBI's taxonomy places the organism in Eukaryota, Metazoa, Chordata, Actinopteri, Cypriniformes, Cyprinidae.
GUUCGUUCUCCCGGCUAUUCUUCCGGGUUGGCUUGCCCCCGUGUGUGGUUCUUCUCUUUGGAUGUGUUCCCCUAGGAGAGGUGAAUUCCUGGGACGUUUGGGCUGGCGUGUGGAGGUAUUUGAGGACUAUUGUGGGGUUUCGGCUAUCUGGCUGUGCAACAGAUAUAUCAGCGAUCGAGUGGAGAUAUUCAGGACAGAAAGAGUGUGAGUUCUGGAAAGCAAGUGAAGACCAGACCGCGCCAUCGCUAUCGGAGGGAAGUUAAGAGACCUGAUCUGGGACUUCGAUCAAUUGUAUACUUCUGGACUGGGAGUGAUAACGUUGUGAAGUGGACGGAGUCAUCGUUGGGUGAGUGCUGGCUCUAUUUGCACUAAGAGUGGGUGUGCCGUGUCUGAAGUGGUGUGUUUGCACAAUAAAUCGUUUGAAGUGAAGUUACAGAGUGUGGGGAAGAUAUAUAGAGUUAAUGCCGGACGCUCACCACCCCGAGAGCCCACCACCGUCACCGUAAUCCACACCCAGGCACUCAACUGAAGUAUCCCCCAGCCGUAAGCCCCAUUUCUUAUUCAAGAACACAUACAUGCUGUUGAUUACUUACCCCGCUGUGUAGAUCGCAGGAUCCUCUGGGCCGAACGCCGCAUGUGAUGUCCCUAUGAAAGGAGAUCGCAGGAUCCUCUGGGCCGAACGCCGCAUGUGAUGUCCCUAUGAAAAGAGGUGGACACAAGAAUUAUUCCUUUCCCGGUCACAACCGAAGCCUCUCCCAGCCGUAAGCCCCACUACUUAUUCAAGAACACAUACUUGCUGUUGAUUACUUACUCUGCUGUGCAGAUCGCAGGAUCCUCUGGGCCGAACGCCGCAUGUGAUGUCCCUAUGAAAAGAGAUCGCAGGAUCCUCUGGGCCGAACGCCGCAUGUGAUGUCCCUAUGAAAAGAGGUGGACACAAGAAUUAUUCCUUUCCCGGUCACAACCGAAGCCUCUCCCAGCCGUAAGCCCCACUACUUAUUCAAGAACACAUACUUGCUGUUGAUUACCUACUCUGCUGUGCAGAUCGCAGGAUCCUCUGGGCCGAAUGCUGCAUGUGAUGUCCCUGUAGAAAGAGAUCGCAGGAUUCUCUGGGCCGAAUGCUGCAUGUGAUGUCCCUGUAGAAGGAGGUGGACACGAGAAUUAUUCCUUUUCCCGGUCUCGACCGAAACAUCCACGAGCUCUACUUACCCGGAUACCCCCCCCUCACUCCGGGACGGGUGACAGACUAUCCUGGCUCUUGCUGGCCCCGUACAGGCACGAACUGCUGACGACUCCACGCCUUCCCGGCGUCCGAGGUCUGGCUCCGUUCUGGUCGGGAGACACGGAAGGAACACUGAACUUUUAAAUUGCUUUUAACCAAAUAAAACCUUGUUCAUUUUUUUUAUACUCUCGUCCGUCUGGUUCUUCUGGUACGCUCCCCGAGGUGAUCCUGGGUUUCAGGGGUGGGUGCAGUCUGGCUUGGCCCCCCCGACCUGUGACAGAUUCAUGUUGGACGCAGCUGCCAUCAGACCCAGCAAUCUCCGAGACUGCUUGACAGUGAGUGACUGGCCUUCUCUCAAUCUCGUGACUGCAGUGAGGACCGACUCGAUCUGAGCAGGUGACAUGCAUUGUGGUCAAAUCCCACACCACGAAAAAAAAAGCAGAGAAAGCACACUUUUCUUGGCCUUAGGUCUCAUGCUAAAGGUCAAAGGGGCCUGCCCUCCGAGGUUCUGAGCCGCAGCAUCAUUUUUUUUUCUUUUUGCCAGGGACAACACACAGCCUGAACGCUGCCUGUUCUCGCCCAAAACUUACCUUAAUUGAAGCUAUGACAAUGGAGUUUAUCAGUGGAAAAACGACACUAAAUAAGACUCACAAACAGAUACACAGACACAUACACAGAGCGCUUGCUGAAAAUAGAAGGCUGAUUACUGGCUUCGCCGCUCAUGCUUUUAUGCUUCUUGGUCUCUGACGUCACCCGCCUAUGACGUCUCGCCCUUCCAUUGGACUGAUUACACACGUUAUUCAAGAGACAUCAUGCUGGGGGUGUUUCCCAAUCAUUCUUGACGCAGCUCGAGUUCCUGAAGAGGAGAUCUUUCACCCAUAGAAAACAUUUGGCGCAUCAUAAAGAACAAGAUGU